GAAAUUCCUUCUUUGUGUGAGGCACACUUCUGCUAGGUGCUAGUGAUGCAAAUGCAAUUGAUGAAACAAUCCUUAUUGGAAAUCACCUUCCAUUUUCAAGGCCUUGGAGAGCUGGAGAUGAUUCUUCUAAUGAUAGUCUAACCUUCUAACCCUCAUUCAAUCAUGGGAUUUGACCUUAGACUCUGAAACCCAAUCCAUGAGGUGCCUAUGGGAUGAUUGAUAAAAACAAAAGCACACCUAUACAAGCAAUAAUACAUUUUAACAUAGUAGGAAGCAGAAGCAAAUGUAAAAGGAAGUAAAAGGCCUAAA
Phascolarctos cinereus (koala) is the source of this 309-nucleotide non-coding RNA. NCBI's taxonomy places the organism in Eukaryota, Metazoa, Chordata, Mammalia, Diprotodontia, Phascolarctidae. The record is from RefSeq and is a predicted model, not a curated record.